UAGGCGGACGGGUGAGUAAUGUCUGGGAAACUGCCCGAUGGAGGGGGAUAACUACUGGAAACGGUAGCUAAUACCGCAUAACGUCGCAAGACCAAAGAGGGGGACCUUCGGGCCUCGCGCCAUCAGAUGAACCCAUAUGGGAUUAGCUUGUAGGUAAGGUAACGGCUUACCUAGGCGACGAUCCCUAGCUGGUCUGAGAGGAUGAUCAGCCACACUGGGACUGAGACACGGCCCCAG
RNAcentral lists this ribosomal RNA (237 nucleotides) under uncultured bacterium. Its description in RNAcentral is "partial 16S ribosomal RNA". It matches the Rfam family "Bacterial small subunit ribosomal RNA", at positions 95 to 334 of the family's 1533-position model. The record is from RNAcentral.